RNAcentral lists this ribosomal RNA (253 nucleotides) under uncultured bacterium. Its description in RNAcentral is "partial 16S ribosomal RNA". It matches the Rfam family "Bacterial small subunit ribosomal RNA", at positions 524 to 776 of the family's 1533-position model. The record is from RNAcentral.
UACGGAGGGUGCAAGCGUUAAUCGGAAUUACUGGGCGUAAAGCGUGCGUAGGCGGCCGUUUAAGUCAGAUGUGAAAGCCCCGGGCUUAACCUGGGAACUGCAUUUGAUACUGGAGGGCUAGAGUUUAAUAGAGGGGAGUGGAAUUUCCGGUGUAGCGGUGAAAUGCGUAGAGAUCGGAAGGAACACCAGUGGCGAAGGCGACUCCCUGGAUUAAAACUGACGCUGAGGUACGAAAGCGUGGGUAGCAAACAGG